AAUGUUCAGAUAGCCAUGCACGUCUAAGUACAAACUAAAUGAUGGUGAAACUGCAAAUGGCUCAUUACAACGGUUAUGAUGUACCCGGGAGUUCCGAUGGAUAUUUCCAGUAACGCUAGAACUAAUACAUGUCCCUGCGUUUAUUAGUUUCGCACAGUCCGUCGCUGAGCCAUGGUAAACAGUUGAUCGACUCGACGUCCCGGAACAGUUUCCGCCCCAUCAGCUUCGAUGGUUGGGUAUUGGCCUACCAUUGCAACAACGGGUAACGAGGAAUUAGGGUUUGAUUUCGGAGAGGGAGCCUGAGAAACGGCUACCACAUCUACGGAUGGCAGCAGGCGCGCAAAUUACCCAAUGCAGACACUGUGGGGUAGUGACGAGAAAUAAUAAAGCGGGACUUCUGUUUCGCUAUUAUAAUGAGGAAUAACCAAAGGUCAUUCCGAUUAGCAACUGAUGGGAAAGUCUGGUGCCAGCAGCCGCGGUAAUACCAGCGUCAGUAGCAU
RNAcentral lists this ribosomal RNA (500 nucleotides) under uncultured Myrionecta. RNAcentral's name for it is "SSU rRNA". It matches the Rfam family "Eukaryotic small subunit ribosomal RNA", at positions 35 to 600 of the family's 1831-position model. Lineage: Eukaryota; Ciliophora; Litostomatea; Cyclotrichida; Mesodiniidae. The record is from RNAcentral.